UACGUAGGUGGCAAGCGUUAUCCGGAUUUAUUGGGUUUAAAGGGUGCGUAGGCGGAUUUUUAAGUCAGCGGUAAAAUGUCCGGGCUCAACCCGGGCCGGCCGUUGAAACUGGGGAUCUUGAGUGGGCGAGAAGUAUGCGGAAUGCGUGGUGUAGCGGUGAAAUGCAUAGAUAUCACGCAGAACUCCGAUUGCGAAGGCAGCAUACCGGCGCCCGACUGACGCUGAGGCACGAAAGCGUGGGGAUCGAACAGG
Molecule: ribosomal RNA, 252 nt
Filed under: uncultured bacterium
Lineage: Bacteria
Description: partial 16S ribosomal RNA
Rfam family: Bacterial small subunit ribosomal RNA
Source: RNAcentral